GUGAGAGCUGGACAAUAAAAAAGGCUGAGCACCGAAGAAUUGACACUUUCAAAGUGUGGUGCUGGAGAAGACUCUUGAGAGUCCCUUGGACUGCAAGAAGAUCAAACCAGUCAACCCUGAAGGAAAUCAACCCUGAAUAUUCACUGGAAGGGCUGAUGCUGAAGCUGAAGCUCCAAUCCUUUGGUCACCUGAUGCGAAGAACUGAUUUAUUAGAAAAGAUUCUAAUGCUGGGAAAGAUGGAGGGCAGGAGGAGAAGGGGGCUACAGAGCAUGAGAUGGUUGGAUGGCAUCACCGACUCAAUGGACAUGAGUUUGAGCAAACCCUGGGAGUUGGUGAUGGACAGGGAGGCCUGGCGUGCUGCAGUCCAUGGGGCCACAAAGAGUUGGACACGACUGAGCAACUGAACAACAACAGCAAGUAAGCAGAGGUUGCCGAUGGAGACACAGGAUGCAGGAUGUGGCAGCUGGGGAGUUUCCUCUCCUCUGCCAUCUUCAAUGCUGCACUUUAUUUCCAAGGAGACAUGAGUCUGUGUAAUGACAAUAGUGACCUCCAUUUCUGUUGUCCGUCUUGUGUGCCCAGUGGAACAUGCCUUUACUCCUCUACCACUCACCAUAAUCCCAAAAGUGCCAAAAUCAUAUUCUCAAUCUGCUGCGGAAAGGAUCCAAAUAUUGGCUUCAUCCACCGAAGCUAAUGGUGAAGAGUAGACACAUCAACCAAAACUCAAGAUGAAGAAUGACGGAAAAUCUUACCUGUUGAGAAAGGGGAAGACAUGGGUGCACUGACUGAAGAAUCCCAGGGCAGUCUCUACUUUGUGAUGCCAACCUCAGGACUGGCAGCUUCAGGCUCAUCCUUAUUCCUUCAGCAACUUCAGUAGAAAGAAGCAGUCCCUGCUUUCAACAUCGCCAUCAAAAGUCCGGGAGGACACAUAUACAUGGUUGAUACUAUGUAGACAAUAGAUAACUGGUGUAAACCUCUGUAUAGCACAGAGAACUCUGCUUAGCUCUCUGUGGUGAAUUAAAUGGGAAGGAAAUCUAAAG
This is a long non-coding RNA of Dama dama (fallow deer), 1037 nucleotides long. RefSeq lists it as uncharacterized. NCBI's taxonomy places the organism in Eukaryota, Metazoa, Chordata, Mammalia, Artiodactyla, Cervidae. The record is from RefSeq and is a predicted model, not a curated record. The transcript has 3 exons.